GAUGAACGCUAACGGGAGGCCUAACACAUGCAAGCCGAGCGGUAUUGUUUCUUCGGAAAUGAGAGAGCGGCGUACGGGUGCGGAACACGUGUGCAACCUGCCUUUAUCUGGGGGAUAGCCUUUCGAAAGGAAGAUUAAUACUCCAUAACAUAUUGAACGGCAUCGUUUAAUAUUGAAAGCUCCGGCGGAUAGAGAUGGGCACGCGCAAGAUUAGCUAGUUGGUGAGGUAACGGCUCACCAAGGCGAUGAUCUUUAGGGGGCCUGAGAGGGUGAUCCCCCACACUGGUACUGAGACACGGACCAGACUCCUACGGGAGGCAGCAGUGAGGAAUAUUGGUCAAUGGGUGCAAGCCUGAACCAGCCAUCCCGCGUGAAGGACGACUGCCCUAUGGGUUGUAAACUUCUUUUGUAUAGGGAUAAACCUACCCUCGUGAGGGUAGCUGAAGGUACUAUACGAAUAAGCACCGGCUAACUCCGUG
Molecule: ribosomal RNA, 479 nt
Filed under: uncultured bacterium
Lineage: Bacteria
Description: bacterial SSU rRNA
Rfam family: Bacterial small subunit ribosomal RNA
Source: RNAcentral